AUGUGCAACAACCAUACGAUGAAUGCUUUCAUGCAUGCAGUUCAAUACCACCAUAAAAAGAGCAUGUGGACAUGUCUGAACUACUAUGGUUAUCCCCUCCCUCAAUAUAUUAGCUCACCAAUAGAUGUUCUGGUCAUAUCAAUUCGAGCUCAAAGUGUAAUAGAUGACCACAACUUGAUAACGCCUUUGCAUUCACCGUCUCAAAGUUGCAUACAUUGUCACUAUGAAUGUGGUAAAGCAGCUAAUAAAUCAUCACUACAUAUGAGGGCAGAAACAGACCUAAGCACUCAUAAUAUCCGCAAUAUACAACCACAUAUAAAAGAACAUCAAAUCAUCAUUUGGUAG
RNAcentral lists this ribosomal RNA (345 nucleotides) under Triticum aestivum (bread wheat). Its description in RNAcentral is "partial small subunit ribosomal RNA". The record is from RNAcentral. Lineage: Eukaryota; Viridiplantae; Streptophyta; Magnoliopsida; Poales; Poaceae.